CGCCGCGACAGCUUGGCAGG
RNAcentral lists this unclassified non-coding RNA (20 nucleotides) under Chlamydomonas reinhardtii. Its description in RNAcentral is "small RNA Cre_1248". Lineage: Eukaryota; Viridiplantae; Chlorophyta; Chlorophyceae; Chlamydomonadales; Chlamydomonadaceae. The record is from RNAcentral.